ACAUUGGGACUGAGAUACGGCCCAGACUCCUACGGGAGGCAGCAGUAGGGAAUUUUGCGCAAUGGACGAAAGUCUGACGCAGCAAUGCCGCGUGAGUGAUGAAGGCCUUCGGGUCGUAAAGCUCUGUUGAGUGGGAAGAAACGUCCGGCGGUUAAUACCCGUCGAGCCUGACGGUACCACUCGAGGAAGCCCCGGCUAACUACGUGCCAGCAGCCGCGGUAAUACGUAGGGGGCAAGCGUUGUUCGGAAUUACUGGGCGUAAAGGGAGCGUAGGUGGGAAAGUGAGUUAGGAGUGUAAUACGCAGGCUUAAACCUGCGGCUCGCUUCUAAUACUGCUUUUCUUGAGUAUGGGAGAGGGAGACGGAAUUCCAGGUGUAGCGGUGGAAUGCGUAGAUAUCUGGAAGAACAUCAGUUGCGAAGGCGGUCUCCUGGCCCAAUACUGACACUGAGGCUCGAAAGCUAGGGGAGCAAACAGGAUUAGAUACCCUGGUAGUCCUAGCCGUAAACGAUGGACACUAGAUGUUGGGGGAGUUAUUCCUUCAGUGUCGUAGCUAACGCGUUAAGUGUCCCGCCUGGGGAGUACGCUCGCAAGGGUGAAACUCAAAGGAAUUGACGGGGGCCCGCACAAGCGGUGGAGCAUGUGCUUUAAUUCGAUGCAACGCGAAGAACCUUACCUGGGCUUGACAUGGGAGUGAAAUCCCGUAGAGAUACGGGACUUUCCUUCGGGAACACUCCACACAGGUGCUGCAUGGUUGUCGUCAGCUCGUGUCGUGAGAUGUUGGGUUAAGUCCCGCAACGAGCGCAACCCUCGCCCUUAGUUGCCAGCGGGUAAUGCCGGGAACUCUAGGGGGACUGUCUGGUACAACCAGGAGGAAGGUGGGGAUGACGUCAAAUCAUCAUGGCCCUUACGCCCAGGGCUAGACACGUGCUACAAUGGCUGGUACAACGGGCUGCAAGCUCGCGAGAGCAAGCCAAUCCCUAAAAACCAGCCUCAGUUCAGAUUGGAGUCUGCAAUUCGACUUCAUGAAGGUGGAAUCGCUAGUAAUCGCGGAUCAGCAUGCCGCGGUGAAUACGUUCCCGGGCCUUGUACACACCGCCCGUCAAGCCACGAAAGAUGGUAGUACCCNGAAGUCGCUACUCUAACCCGCAAGGGAGGAGGGCGCCGAAGGUA
Molecule: ribosomal RNA, 1171 nt
Filed under: uncultured organism
Description: bacterial SSU rRNA
Rfam family: Bacterial small subunit ribosomal RNA
Source: RNAcentral